AAAAGCGCGUUCCGUGCUUAAAAGCGCCCGCCGUGCGUAAAAGCCCGCCCCGUGCGUAAAGCGCAUAUCGUAAGUAAAAGCGCACGCCGUGCGUAAAUUAUCUUACCGCGUGUAAAAACGCAUUCCGUGAGUAUUGAUUGUAUGCCUCAAGACUCUGGUCCCUUGAUUUCCAAAUGAAAUGCACAAUUUACUGAUGGUCAGGGAUGGUUUGGAGAUCUGCUUGUCAUCUGCUAUGUUGAUCCACUGUGUUAUAUCAAGUCUAAAGUCAGUGCAGUGAAAAUCUUACAGCACUGUAAUUUUCUGACACAUUUUGAGCUGAUUUCCCAGUGUAAUAAAAACGAAUCCAACCCCUAGAGCUUGUCUGAUAAUAACUAUUGUUAUAAAAGAGCAUGUGCUGCAUAAAACCACUUUUAAACGCUCAUCUAGGGGCGAGGAGGAAAACAGAAGAACGAGAUAAAGGAGGAAGCAGAAUAACAAACACUAAUGCAAAACAGACAAAUUUAUUACUGAAACAGCAAAGAAAUUGAAACUAUGCAUAUAAACCAAAUCCAAUGAAUAUAAAGGAAAUACUAUACCUUAAACACAAGAUGAUAAACUAAAGUAAUACUUGUGGGUGGACAAAGGACGGUGCAAAUGAAAGAAAAACAGUAAAAGCAAUCUUAAAACUACUUAACCCGCAACUAAACUAACAAAAACACAAAAGUAGCACCCGCCCCCAGCCUAGUGUCGCUAGAGAGACAUUUUUCCUAUACGAAAAAGGCUCCCAACCAAACCUGUCCACUGAAGAAACCUAAACAAGGGACACAAAUAUCACAGGUGACAAACUAAGUAAUGAAUAUUGAUUAUAAAGGUGACUUCUAUUUAAGGGGGACUUUUAUUUUGGCUGCAAAUGAGCUACAGCUGUGACUUUGAACGGAACUAUUUAAUAGGAUCGAAAGAGGCCACCUGGAGAGCGGAAGUGUUGGACGAGGGACGCUGCACGCCGACGCUGUUCGGGGCUCUCACAAAUACAGGGCAGGGUAGUGAUAGCGAGGCGUUGGCCGAGGAACGGCUCGCGCUCACUGAACUGGAAGUCGAGUGAAUCAAGUGGCUGCUGGUUGAAUCACUGACCGGGAAGGUGGAUCGAGUGCUGGGAAACCACGUGGACCUGCAGGCGGGUGUGAGAACGUGAGAGACUCUAUUGUGGCGUUGUCUGCUCUUGAGAGGCGUGUUGAGGAGAAGGAAUGGCGAAACCGCUCACCUAUCCGCUAGUUAAGUGCAAAAUUUUGUGAAUAGUGUUUGGUUUUAUUUGGCUUGAUUUAUAUUAUUUUUUUGUAAUUGAACUUUGGGGCGCUUGUGCUGUUUUGCAGGUUUAAUUUUCAACUAAAUUUGUAAAUGUGUUUUUUCCUUUCUUCUUUUGUUUGUCCGUGGUGGAGCUGACCAAGAACUUUUAUGUUGACUGUUUUUUAUUUCCCUCCUUGAACAGAUACCAAGGGUUUGGACUAAAUUCUGCAGAACUGAAGUUUUUCUUUAUAUUUUAAAUGGAUAUUUCUUUUAAUUGUUCAAUAAAUGAUUGUGAGACUUU
Molecule: long non-coding RNA, 1564 nt
Organism: Astyanax mexicanus (Mexican tetra)
Lineage: Eukaryota; Metazoa; Chordata; Actinopteri; Characiformes; Acestrorhamphidae
Exons: 2
Source: RefSeq, a predicted model, not a curated record